UGCUCUGACAUGUCAUCUCUUGAUGUCUUCCCUUGGGCACCACCAUCAAUAUCCCUCCUUUUGCAAUCUGGCAGGUAGUUCCCCAGCAGGGAUGUCCUCCCGUUCGUUCUGUAGGCACAGGGUUGUGUUUUCUGCUGUUUUGUGUUUAUGAAAAGCAAGUUAUUAGCUGACAACUUGCUGCUCUUCUCCUUAACAUAGAGAUAAAAGCUGGUUUUCCCCUUGAGUGCCUUAGUUGUUGUUAGGAUCUGGCAGGUAUGUGCCCCUUCGGUGUAAUGCAUCGUGUCAUCAAACUUCUGUUUCAAGUGCCAGUCCCUCUGGUGGGGCAGCUAUCUUCUGCAAGGGUGGGAGGAGAUGUUAGAAACUUUCUGGGCCAUAGGCUUAUGAAUACUUGGUUUCAAGCAAGACAUUGAAAUUUGUUGCCUUUAGCCCUGUCUGGGCAGCUGGCUGCUGUGGGCUGUGUUUGCCCUCACCCCUCAGCUGAGCAGGUGGCCAUCCCCGCUGCUUCUGGUCUUCUUGAAACCAGCUUUGCUGCCUUGCUUUGGCUGCCAGGACAGCUGCAGCAAGGAUGUUCCCAAGCAGCACGUCUGACACGGACCGCUCCAGAUCCAGGCUCUCUAGAGAGCAGGGAUGGUCCUGGCCAGCUGGGUGGUGGAGAGAAGGGACUGUCCUUCCUGGAGGGGGAGGAUGCUGGGGAGGGGCUGGCACACAGCCCCUGGCUUAUCUGGCUGUCGAGUUCUGCCACUUUCAUUUGUUCGUGUUGAAACGCACUAUUUAUAAACUUGCUUUUUCUGGCGAAACUCCCAGCCCUGUGGGGGAACUGUGUGAAUCCCUCCAGCCUGCGCUGUGUUGCAGGAUGGCUGCUCUGGUGCCAUGCCCAGAACUUCAGCUGGGGGCUCUUUGCCGACCUUCUUCUCUGCCCUGGCCUUAGGGAGCUGCUUGCUGGUACCGGCAGAUGCGUUAACACCGGCAGUGGUCCUGGCAGCGUGUGCGUCGGGGUGUGUGCCUGCGACAUCACCGAGUCCUGCAGCAGAACGUGGUCCCCUGCCCACGUUGACUGGGGGACACAGCGCCCUUCCUGCAGCAUCCCGAGGUUACAGCUGGGGACAUCGGGCUCCUGAGGCUGAAGACUGCUGGACAUGGAGGGCGAGUGUGGGUCCCUCUGAACUCCUUGGUGCGACGCUGAAGUUACAGAGGACGUCUGUGACCCAGGUUUCCUGAGCAGUGUGGGUGCAGCAGCAGCACCAGCUUUCAGCAUCCUGGGCUUUGUGUGUCCGGGUCCACUGCUGCUUCGGAGAGACAGGGAAGAUUAAAAAUACAA
Long non-coding RNA from Cuculus canorus (common cuckoo), 1318 nucleotides. RefSeq lists it as uncharacterized. NCBI's taxonomy places the organism in Eukaryota, Metazoa, Chordata, Aves, Cuculiformes, Cuculidae. The record is from RefSeq and is a predicted model, not a curated record. The transcript is spliced from 3 exons.